Myodes glareolus (Bank vole) is the source of this 832-nucleotide non-coding RNA. NCBI's taxonomy places the organism in Eukaryota, Metazoa, Chordata, Mammalia, Rodentia, Cricetidae. The record is from RefSeq and is a predicted model, not a curated record.
AGCCCAUUUAUUUCUUCCUCCAGUACUGAAGAGGCAAAAUACAGCAUGAGGAUAAGGUCAUGGCUCUAAAGACCAGUAGUUUGCAUUCUAAAUAUUUUACUUAAUGGAUGUGUGGCCUGAAACAAAUUCCUUAAGAUCUCUGAUAUGUGUUUCUCAUCUACAAAUAGUUCAUAAGCCAUUUGACACCAGUCUCUGGGCUUGGAAUGUGACACUGGACAGCAGUGCAGCUAAACUCCUAUAUGACAAUAAGGAGCCAGCUAUGGGAGCACAACAUGGAGGACGAAGAACAUGGAGGUGGAAGGAGCAUUGUGUCUGAGGCAGGAGGCAGAUACAAUCUUGUGUUGUUCAGGGGAAAAGCAUGUGUGCAUUUGGCAUCCUCAAAAGCAGGGCUCAUACCCUGGGAACACACACGGCUACCCUUUUUAUUCUGGAGACACACAGGGACAAGCUUUUUACCCUGAUUCUGGCUCCUUACCCAGUCUCCUCCUGGUCUAACCAGCUCAUGGAUCUAGCUACCAUCUCCAGCUGACAGGAGCCCCCACUUGUCGCCUAUAUUGACAGAUAUUUUGUUCUUAAUUUGUGUCUGCUUCAUCUGGAAACUUCCAGCAAAGAUUCUCAAGCAGCGAUCAUGUCACCUACUACAGACACCCAGGAAGGAAAUAAUAUUAACUGAGUAAGCAGAAAGUGCAAGCAAGUGACUUCCAAAAACUGUGAGUAAUGACAAAAACAUCUGACUUCCUGGAUAGUCACCCAAAGAUCCUCUACAACAUUGGGACAUUCAUCUUCAGCCUACUGGCCUAGCAUAUUCAACAUACUUUUCUGUGAAGCAGAA